ACGGAGGGUGCGAGCGUUAAUCGGAAUUACUGGGCGUAAAGCGCGCGUAGGCGGUUUUGUAAGUCAGAUGUGAAAUCCCCCGGCUCAACCGUGGAACUGCCUUUGUUACUGCACAACUGGAAUGCGGGAGAGGGUGAUGGAAUUCCGGGUGUAGGAGUGAAAUCCGUAGAUAUGUGGAGGAACAGCAAUGGCGAAGGCGGCCACCUGGACCGGUAUUGACGCUGAGGUGCGAAAGCGUGGGGAGCAAACAG
This 251-nucleotide ribosomal RNA is filed under the name uncultured prokaryote. Its description in RNAcentral is "partial 16S rRNA". It matches the Rfam family "Bacterial small subunit ribosomal RNA", at positions 525 to 775 of the family's 1533-position model. The record is from RNAcentral.